Molecule: non-coding RNA, 228 nt
Organism: Pelobates cultripes (western spadefoot toad)
Lineage: Eukaryota; Metazoa; Chordata; Amphibia; Anura; Pelobatidae
Source: the annotation of a GenBank genome assembly
CCCUAAGCAAGCUCUUCCACUUCCUCUUUCUUUGAUGAGGUCGAGCAGGAGAGCAAGGAAACCAAUGAAUCCACCUUGUAGCAGACACAUCCAGAGAAACAAUCGUCAAGCCCAGAGAGAAAACAGAAAACAUUGUGAAAGUAAACUGUCAAGGCAAGAUGUCAUAUCCAUACAAUAUCACUUGCACAUCAUAAUAUCUGAUGAAUAAACAAAGUCUACAGAUCUUAU